AAUAUGUUCCAUGGUAAAGCUCGUUGUUCAAGACAGGUGCUACAUAGGGAAGGACCAUAGCCAGGGAACAAAAGAUUGAAAGGAUGAUGGUCAGUGAUCAAUAAGGCCAAAGCCCACCUUUUUAACA
Molecule: long non-coding RNA, 127 nt
Filed under: Monodelphis domestica (gray short-tailed opossum)
Lineage: Eukaryota; Metazoa; Chordata; Mammalia; Didelphimorphia; Didelphidae
Description: lncRNA (ENSMODG00000036322.2)
Source: RNAcentral